UCAACAUCAACACCUGUGCACCAUAUCAGACAUCCUGUUGUAGCACCUGUGCACAUCUUUCAAUAAUAGUUGUCCUUCUGUCUAGCCACAUACAUCUUAGCCAGUACCCAGCUCCAACCAACUCCACCAGCUCCACAUACUUCUCCCCAUUUUUAGUCAAAAUUGACCAAAGGUAAAUAAAUCUCAUAGAAUCUUUACACCCAUCACAUCUUU
This 213-nucleotide long non-coding RNA is filed under the name Lathyrus oleraceus (garden pea). RNAcentral's name for it is "Pisum sativum (pea) long non-coding RNA (PSAT_LNC033866)". Lineage: Eukaryota; Viridiplantae; Streptophyta; Magnoliopsida; Fabales; Fabaceae. The record is from RNAcentral.